AAUGUUGGAUGCAUAUUCGACAUUUGAAAGUACCAACUGGUACACUGAGAGAUGGACCCGCGUUGUAUUAGCUAGUUGGUAGUGUAAUGGACUACCAAGGCGAUGAUACAUAGCCGACCUGAGAGGGUGAUCGGCCACAUUGGGACUGAGACACGGCCCAAACUCCUACGGGAGGCAGCAGUAGGGAAUCUUCGGCAAUGGACGAAAGUCUGACCGAGCAACGCCGCGUGAGUGAAGAAGGUUUUCGGAUCGUAAAACUCUGUUGUUAGAGAAGAACGUUGCAUAGAGUGGAAAAUUAUGCAAGUGACGGUAUCUAACCAGAAAGGGACGGCUAACUACGUGCCAGCAGCCGCGGUAAUACGUAGGUCCCGAGCGUUGUCCGGAUUUAUUGGGCGUAAAGCGAGCGCAGGUGGUUUAAUAAGUCUGAUGUAAAAGGCAGUGGCUCAACCAUUGUGUGCAUUGGAAACUGUUAGACUUGAGUGCAGUAGAGGAGAGUGGAAUUCCAUGUGUAGCGGUGAAAUGCGUAGAUAUAUGGAGGAACACCGGUGGCGAAAGCGGCUCUCUGGACUGUCACUGACACUGAGGCUCGAAAGCGUGGGUAGCAAACAGGAUUAGAUACCCUGGUAGUCCACGCCGUAAACGAUGAGUGCUAGUUGUUUGGGGCUAUCCAGCCCUAAGUGACGCAGCAAACGCAUUAAGCACUCCGCCUGGGGAGUACGACCGCAAGGUUGAAACUCAAAGGAAUUGACGGGGGCCCGCACAAGCGGUGGAGCAUGUGGUUUAAUUCGAAGCAACGCGAAGAACCUUACCAGGUCUUGACAUACUCGUG
Molecule: ribosomal RNA, 829 nt
Filed under: Pseudolactococcus raffinolactis
Lineage: Bacteria; Bacillati; Bacillota; Bacilli; Lactobacillales; Streptococcaceae
Description: bacterial SSU rRNA
Rfam family: Bacterial small subunit ribosomal RNA
Source: RNAcentral